ACAACGUGAAAUAGGAAGUGUAGCAAGUUGCAUCACCUGCUAAUCUCAGCGUGAGAGUUAUACCGCAUGUAAAAAUACACAUGCACCGAUACGCCCUGCCCCAUGUUACAGCACUACUCCUCUCAGUGAAAGAAGUUUUCAGAUACCCUAAAGAUGAACUAGGAGGAGGAGAAUGUGGAGAUCCAGAAACAUCCAUGGAAUAUGAAAGAAGGCAAAAGAGGCAGGUGUAACCAUCUGUGAUUAAAUGUGACUGGAGGAGCACAAAGCAUGGAGAGAGGAUCUGAUUAUCCGAUUGGCUGACGGCAGGACGGUCAAAGGUCAGCUGGAGUGACCUCGCCGUUACAGAUGGCCGAGAGUGAACGUGGUGUACAGAGUGAAUGGAGAUCUGUGGGAUCUAAGUCUCUCUCUGGUGGAGGACUGCGUGAACUGCAGCUGCUGGGUUUUGACUCACUGGAGGGCAGACAGGUACAAGCUUUUGAUUGUUUAAGAGUUUUGCCUUCGAGCGUUAACAAUGAACAAGUAAACACUGUCUCUUCUCUUUCCAGCCCCUGAUAUUAGCACUGCAUCUAGCGUAGGGCUGUGCAAUUAAUCGAAAUUGCGCCCCAUUCCACCCCCUUUCCAGCGCUGCGCUUUCGUUCCUCCAUAAAAGCCCAGUUUCAUGUGCAAAUCAGUGAAAUCAUGUAACUUCUGCAGCAUGGGACGUGCUCAGAGACACACAUGUAAAGCGUAAAGUCAUCUUUUAGCUCAAGGUGCGCGCCUAAACUAAUGCUGCACUUAGUGAUUAUUCACGUAAACCCUCGUCGGUCAUAAAUGAACAUAAAGAGUUGAGAAUGAAAAUACAUUCGUUGGAUCCGUGUGCUCUUGUGACAGCGGGCUAAUAUUCCUGAC
RNAcentral lists this long non-coding RNA (888 nucleotides) under Sinocyclocheilus grahami. RNAcentral describes it as "lncRNA (ENSSGRG00000036847.1)". Lineage: Eukaryota; Metazoa; Chordata; Actinopteri; Cypriniformes; Cyprinidae. The record is from RNAcentral.